RNAcentral lists this ribosomal RNA (406 nucleotides) under uncultured bacterium. RNAcentral describes it as "partial 16S ribosomal RNA". It matches the Rfam family "Bacterial small subunit ribosomal RNA", at positions 30 to 526 of the family's 1533-position model. The record is from RNAcentral.
AUUGAACGCUGGCGGCAUGCCUAAUACAUGCAAGUCGAACGAUUGGCGGACGGGUAAGUAAUGUCUGGGAAACUGCCCGAUGGAGGGGGAUUACUACUGGAAACGGUAGCUAAUACCGCAUACCAUCGGAUGUUCCCAGGUGGGAUGAGCUAGUAGGUGGGGUAAUGGCUCUCCUAGUCGACGAUCCCUAGCUGGUCUGAGAGGAUGACCAGCCACACUGGAACAGAGACAGGGUCCAGACUCCAACGGGAGUAAGCAGUGGGGAAUAUUGCAAAAUGGGCGCAAGCCUGAUGCAGCCAUGCGGCGGGUAUGAAGAAGGCCUUCGGGUUGUAAAGUACUUUCAGCGGGGAGGCGUUACCCGCAGAAAAAGGGCCGGCUAACUCCGUGCCAGCAGCCGCGGUAAUUC